This 71-nucleotide transfer RNA is filed under the name Pelagomonas calceolata. The record is from RNAcentral. Lineage: Eukaryota; Pelagophyceae; Pelagomonadales; Pelagomonadaceae.
GAAUUGAUUUGGGAACAACCAACUCCGUUGUUGCCGCAAUCGAAGCAACACAAACAACAGUUAUACCAAAU